GGAGAGGUGGCAGAGUGGUCGAAUGUACCUGACUCGAAAUCAGGCGUACACAACGUGUACCGUGGGUUCGAAUCCCACCCUCUCCGCCA
This 89-nucleotide transfer RNA is filed under the name Azoarcus sp. RNAcentral describes it as "tRNA-Ser". It matches the Rfam family "tRNA". Rfam says of the family: Transfer RNA (tRNA) molecules are approximately 80 nucleotides in length. Their secondary structure includes four short double-helical elements and three loops (D, anti-codon, and T loops). Lineage: Bacteria; Pseudomonadati; Pseudomonadota; Betaproteobacteria; Rhodocyclales; Zoogloeaceae. The record is from RNAcentral.